Molecule: ribosomal RNA, 857 nt
Filed under: uncultured bacterium
Lineage: Bacteria
Description: bacterial SSU rRNA
Rfam family: Bacterial small subunit ribosomal RNA
Source: RNAcentral
ACACAUGCAAGUCGAACGGAGCUGAGAGGAGCUUGCUUUUCUUAGCUUAGUGGCGAACGGGUGAGUAACGCGUGAGUAACCUGCCCUGGAGUGGGGGACAACAGUUGGAAACGACUGCUAAUACCGCAUAAGCCCACGAUCCGGCAUCGGAUUGAGGGAAAAGGAUUUAUUCGCUUCAGGAUGGACUCGCGUCCAAUUAGCUAGUUGGUGAGGUAACGGCCCACCAAGGCGACGAUUGGUAGCCGGACUGAGAGGUUGAACGGCCACAUUGGGACUGAGACACGGCCCAGACUCCUACGGGAGGCAGCAGUGGGGGAUAUUGCACAAUGGGGGAAACCCUGAUGCAGCGACGCCGCGUGGAGGAAGAAGGUUUUCGGAUUGUAAACUCCUGUCGUUAGGGACGAUAAUGACGGUACUCAACAAGGAAGUGACGGCUAACUACGUGCCAGCAGCCGCGGUAAAACGUAGGUCACAAGCGUUGUCCGGAAUUACUGGGUGUAAAGGGAGCGCAGGCGGGAAGACAAGUUGGAAGUGAAAUCUAUGGGCUCAACCCAUAAACUGCUUUCAAAACUGUUUUUCUUGAGUAGUGCAGAGGUAGGCGGAAUUCCCGGUGUAGCGGUGGAAUGCGUAGAUAUCGGGAGGAACACCAGUGGCGAAGGCGGCCUACUGGGCACCAACUGACGCUGAGGCUCGAAAGUGUGGGUAGCAAACAGGAUUAGAUACCCUGGUAGUCCACACCGUAAACGAUGAUUACUAGGUGUUGGAGGAUUGACCCCUUCAGUGCCGCAGUUAACACAAUAAGUAAUCCACCUGGGGAGUACGACCGCAAGGUUGAAACUCAAAGGAAUUGACGGGGG